Molecule: ribosomal RNA, 379 nt
Filed under: uncultured eukaryote
Lineage: Eukaryota
Description: partial 18S ribosomal RNA
Rfam family: Eukaryotic small subunit ribosomal RNA
Source: RNAcentral
CAAUAGCGUAUAUUUAAGUUGUUGCAGUUAAAAAGCUCGUAGUUGAAUUUCGGAUGGGAUUUGCCGGUCCGUCGUUACGAUGUGCACUGGCCAGUCCUAUCUUGUUGUCGGGGACUAGCUCCUUGGAUUCACUUCCUGGGACUAGGAGCUGACGAGGUUACUUUGAGUAAAUUAGAGUGUUCAAAGCAAGCCUACGCUCUGAAUACAUUAGCAUGGAAUAACGCGAUAGGACUCUGGCUUAUCUUGUUGGUCUGUGAGACCAGAGUAAUGAUUAAGAGGGACAGUCGGGGACAUUCGUAUUUCAUUGUCAGAGGUGAAAUUCUUGGAUUUAUGAAAGACGAACUUCUGCGAAAGCAUUUGUCAAGGAUGUUUUCAUUAA